Temnothorax curvispinosus is the source of this 903-nucleotide long non-coding RNA. RefSeq lists it as uncharacterized. Lineage: Eukaryota; Metazoa; Arthropoda; Insecta; Hymenoptera; Formicidae. The record is from RefSeq and is a predicted model, not a curated record. The transcript is spliced from 3 exons.
GCAAAUGCUCUAAUUGAUUUACACCUAUUUUUAUUAUGUAAAAGCAUUUGUAAUUCUAUGCAACCAAUACGAUAUAUGUAAACUUUCUAAAAGAAGGUAGAAUUUUAUCGGUAAAGUUUUCAAAUAUGGUGUCCUUCAAAAAUCAAAAUGUAUUUGUAUUAAUCUCCAUAAUGUAUUCAACUGUAUAUUUUAUGUAUAAAACGAUCAAAUAGAAUCUUGAGGAGGAGCACUCAAUGCGUUCAAAACCAAAAAUGGUUACUCUGACUCUUAAUCUUACAAACUUAUAUCUAUAAUAUAUGUCCUUUAAUAUGUUCUAUAAUAUCCUAUAAUAUGUGUUAUUAUAUUUUAAAAGUCUUCUGAAUUAUUUUCCUUGCAAUUUAUACUAAUAAACUGCAUUAUAUAGAAUUACAAGUAUAAAUUUUUCAGGUGAACAAGGUUAUGUUAAUUGGAGGGAAACAUAAAAAGAAUUUUAUUAGAAGAAGUUUGAGGGCUACAUUUUCUGAUGACUUAGCCUCCAUGUGUUCAUGAACUGGCCAAAAAAAUAAUUAUAAAAUUGGAGAUACGCACACAUACAAUUCUGAGCAUUAAAAAAGCUUUUAGAGCAAUAUUUCCUCGGAAUACAGAAAAAGAUUUUCAACACUUUGUAAUGGAGUGGUUCAGAUUCGCAAACGUCCGUAAGGAAAAAAAAACAUUAAAAAGGAAGUGAUAAAUAUAUUAUCUUACUUGCGUGGCUCCGCGCGAGUGAUUAUUAUAGUAACAAAUUUUUUUAUUUGAAAGAUGAGUUUUAUCCCAAAACCUUACGCUAGGAUCAGUGAUCUUCACCAAAGAUAUUAUUGUGAUAAACUGAAAACUGUAAUAUAUGGUAUAUAUUAUUUUUAUAUAAAUAAAACUUUUUUAUGAUAA